UGGGGAAUAUUGCACAAUGGGCGCAAGCCUGAUGCAGCCAUGCCGCGUGUGUGAAGAAGGCCUUCGGGUUGUAAAGCACUUUCAGCGGGGAGGAAGGCGGUGAGGUUAAUAACCUCACCGAUUGACGUUACCCGCAGAAGAAGCACCGGCUAACUCCGUGCCAGCAGCCGCGGUAAUACGGAGGGUGCAAGCGUUAAUCGGAAUUACUGGGCGUAAAGCGCACGCAGGCGGUCUGUCAAGUCGGAUGUGAAAUCCCCGGGCUCAACCUGGGAACUGCAUUCGAAACUGGCAGGCUAGAGUCUUGUAGAGGGGGGUAGAAUUCCAAGUGUAGCGGUGAAAUGCGUAGAGAUCUGGAGGAAUACCGGUGGCGAAGGCGGCCCCCUGGACAAAGACUGACGCUCAGGUGCGAAAGCGUGGGGAGCAAACAGG
Molecule: ribosomal RNA, 429 nt
Filed under: Chloroflexota bacterium
Lineage: Bacteria; Bacillati; Chloroflexota
Description: Chloroflexi bacterium partial 16S ribosomal RNA
Rfam family: Bacterial small subunit ribosomal RNA
Source: RNAcentral